Molecule: RNA transcript, 1903 nt
Organism: Triticum dicoccoides
Lineage: Eukaryota; Viridiplantae; Streptophyta; Magnoliopsida; Poales; Poaceae
Exons: 4
Source: RefSeq, a predicted model, not a curated record
GCGCUGGGGCAAGCUAUCCCCUACCCAGUGAAGUUGGAUCUUGCAUUCUUCAAGGCGGGGAACCGGUGGAGAAAUCUCCUGCGGGAAAAGGGAGUGGGCGGUCCAGCGAGCUCCAGCGAGCUCCCAGGUCCUCCGGCGAGCAUGGAAUUCUUGUUGCAGACAUUAAACAGGUUAGAAUCUGCUCGCUGUGGCUCCGUUUGGCACGGUUUUGGAUUAAGUUUUCAGCAAUGAUUUGAUUUUGUCUACUGAAUAUUUUUGCGGAAGUACCACAACACUGCUAGAGAAGGUUAACGAGAACAACAACACCAUGGAGCCUCUUCACUACCCAGUCAUGGCGCCGGCGGAGGUUGAGCUGCCGGCCCCGGCGGCCUCAAGUGCAGACGGCCAAAUCUGUGUUGACGGCGCCGCUCCAGAGCCGGCCAGUGCAGACAAGGGUCAAGGUUCAGAGCACUCUAUAGAGCAAGUGGAUCCAAAAACUCCGGGGUGGACGCAAAGAGUGCUCCUUGCCCUCACAGGAUCUCAGCCCUGGAGAGAUCAGUCCGGCGAUUUGCAGAAAAAACAGGAGACUUUGUCAUUGUGCAAAGAUAGGAACAAGUUUCGACACACUUGGUGAGGCGUACGAUUUUUACAAUUUAUAUUCGUGGGCGAAAGGAUUCGGUAUUAGGUAAGGGAAGAGCAGGCUAAAUGUGGACCAGACAAAAUGCAUGCAAAAGAUAGUCUGUGGGUGUGCGGGGAGACCGCUUACGUGAGCAAACAUCGCAACUAAAAGACAUGCUGGCAAAAUCUACACACGAACUAUGUUCAAGCAGUUUUGCCAUAUAGUAUAUGAGUGCGGAGCAUACCAGAUGGAAGAGAUCGAGAAAGGAAAAACGUAUAUUACAAUUCAUACCGAGGCAGAGCGGCGGGAGAAGUGGUGAGGAAUUUGAUUGUGAAUGCGGCCAGUUCGCACACAUGCGGAUGCUCUACAGCCAUGUCUUGAAGGCUCUGGACUUUAUUCUUAUUAAGGAAAUACCUUGGAAGCACAUAGUGAAAAGAUGGACUAGAGAUGCCAGACACAUCCUACUCCCUCAUCUGACACAAUAUCAGAAGGACAAUGCUCACAAAAAUUCAUUUAGUUAUAGGCAUUUCAAUAUGUCGAUGCAUGACAUGAAGCUUGUCCGUAUGGGGGACACGAGUGUUGAAGCAUAUACACAUCUAAUUUCUAUGAUCAAGAAUUGUGCUGCUGGAAUGACACCAUUUGCUGAAAUAAUAAGAGACAGUCUUGGAUUAGAGGACAUGAUGGCAGAGAAUGGAGAUGUUGUUAACCAGGUUCAGACACAAGUUGGUAUUCAGUUUGCACCAAACAGAGUGGAUAGUGUUGUUGGCAACGACGAAACAACUCGGCUAACGAGUCUGGUAAUAGGCUGUCAGGAUUAUUACCUCUGGCUAAGAGGAAGGACAUGGGAAGGCCUACGACAAGCAGAGAGAAGGCGUUUUAUGAAGGUUUGAGUAAGAGGACAAGAUUUUGCACGAUUUUUCGGCGGCAAGGCCACAAAUGUACAACUUUGCCCUGAUCGCGGGGAUGUCCCAAAGCAGGUGAGGAAACCUGCACGAUGCAAAAGUUGUGGGGUGGACAAAGCAGCAGAACUCAGACUGAAUAAUUUACAAACUUAGAUUGUUUCAGCAUGACAUAUUUCUGUCAUGGCCGGUGACUCAUGCCAGAGCAAGCACAGGGGACUGGAGUGCUAAUGUGACAUUGGGAGCGUCAGUGUGUGUGGGCACAGCCGGUCCUUGUGCGUGUGAGUGUCGGGCGCUGGUGUGGUGUACGUGAGGCCCUGGUUAGGAGUCGUGUGUGGUUUGUGGGUGUAUAAACACCCAGUCUUGUAAUGUGUUUUGGUGGAAAAAAAGAAAAUAAGUAGCAAAA